This 1367-nucleotide ribosomal RNA is filed under the name Escherichia coli. Its description in RNAcentral is "partial 23S ribosomal RNA". It matches the Rfam family "Bacterial large subunit ribosomal RNA", at positions 1584 to 2925 of the family's 2925-position model. The record is from RNAcentral. Lineage: Bacteria; Pseudomonadati; Pseudomonadota; Gammaproteobacteria; Enterobacterales; Enterobacteriaceae.
GCUGAAGCGACAAAUGCCCUGCUUCCAGGAAAAGCCUCUAAGCAUCAGGUAACAUCAAAUCGUACCCCAAACCGACACAGGUGGUCAGGUAGAGAAUACCAAGGCGCUUGAGAGAACUCGGGUGAAGGAACUAGGCAAAAUGGUGCCGUAACUUCGGGAGAAGGCACGCUGAUAUGUAGGUGAAGCGACUUGCUCGUGGAGCUGAAAUCAGUCGAAGAUACCAGCUGGCUGCAACUGUUUAUUAAAAACACAGCACUGUGCAAACACGAAAGUGGACGUAUACGGUGUGACGCCUGCCCGGUGCCGGAAGGUUAAUUGAUGGGGUUAGCGGUAACGCGAAGCUCUUGAUCGAAGCCCCGGUAAACGGCGGCCGUAACUAUAACGGUCCUAAGGUAGCGAAAUUCCUUGUCGGGUAAGUUCCGACCUGCACGAAUGGCGUAAUGAUGGCCAGGCUGUCUCCACCCGAGACUCAGUGAAAUUGAACUCGCUGUGAAGAUGCAGUGUACCCGCGGCAAGACGGAAAGACCCCGUGAACCUUUACUAUAGCUUGACACUGAACAUUGAGCCUUGAUGUGUAGGAUAGGUGGGAGGCUUUGAAGUGUGGACGCCAGUCUGCAUGGAGCCGACCUUGAAAUACCACCCUUUAAUGUUUGAUGUUCUAACGUGGGCCCCUUACCGGGGUUGCGGACAGUGUCUGGUGGGUAGUUUGACUGGGGCGGUCUCCUCCUAAAGAGUAACGGAGGAGCACGAAGGUUGGCUAAUCCUGGUCGGACAUCAGGAGGUUAGUGCAAUGGCAUAAGCCAGCUUGACUGCGAGCGUGACGGCGCGAGCAGGUGCGAAAGCAGGUCAUAGUGAUCCGGUGGUUCUGAAUGGAAGGGCCAUCGCUCAACGGAUAAAAGGUACUCCGGGGAUAACAGGCUGAUACCGCCCAAGAGUUCAUAUCGACGGCGGUGUUUGGCACCUCGAUGUCGGCUCAUCACAUCCUGGGGCUGAAGUAGGUCCCAAGGGUAUGGCUGUUCGCCAUUUAAAGUGGUACGCGAGCUGGGUUUAGAACGUCGUGAGACAGUUCGGUCCCUAUCUGCCGUGGGCGCUGGAGAACUGAGGGGGGCUGCUCCUAGUACGAGAGGACCGGAGUGGACGCAUCACUGGUGUUCGGGUUGUCAUGCCAAUGGCACUGCCCGGUAGCUAAAUGCGGAAGAGAUAAGUGCUGAAAGCAUCUAAGCACGAAACUUGCCCCGAGAUGAGUUCUCCCUGACUCCUUGAGAGUCCUGAAGGAACGUUGAAGACGACGACGUUGAUAGGCCGGGUGUGUAAGCGCAGCGAUGCGUUGAGCUAACCGGUACUAAUGAACCGUGAGGCUUAACCUU